UUCCUCUUCUUCUCUUUCUUUGAUCUUCUUCCUGCCGAUAUCAAUUCAGAGAAGUUGAGCAUAGUUUUGUGGGGGAUUCUUAGAAAAACUAAGUAUAUGGAUGAAUCAAGGGAGUAGAUUAUGAUAUUGAAGCUAUUUGAACUCUGGAAAGAAGGAUAAUCGGUUAUAAAGGGUUGUGUAAGGUUCAAUUUUGUUUUCUUUAGGAAAUUGAGAUUUGGAUUAGGUUUAGAUGAUUUGAAAGUGAUGAACAAGGGUUCCUAAAUCAAGUAGUUCUGAUGAAGCCGAUGAAUUGAGCAGUGGUGUUUGGAUUCGAUUUAUUGAUUUGAAUCUUAUUUUGGAUUGGUUGAAUUUGAGAAGCAUAUUGUUUUGGUGAUUAAUUGUAGAACAGGGGUUAGGUCUGUCCUUGAGGAACUUGAAGUCGGAAUUGUGUUAUGUUAAGAACUAGAUGAAGAUUAGGUUUUUCUGUGAUGAGAACUACAGAUGAAAGAAGAAUUGUGAAUUGGGUUUGUUUAAUGGUGAAACUUAAUUAUGAUGUUCAAGGAAUUUCAGUUCAAGGGACUAGGAGCUGAAGUGUGGUCUGAGAUGAAGAAUUGUAUUGUUGCUGGUAUUGAACCUGUUGUUAUGAGUUUUGGGGUUGAACUGUUGUUGGUGGUUUUGCUUAUGUGCUUCACUAUUAUAGGACGUGAAGGUUACUUUAAAUAUAAAUGGAGAUUAGAGAUGAAGAUGAGUUUAAUCGAGCCAGUGAGGUUCAAGUGGUAGAUAUUGCAGGUGCAGUGGUGCUGGUUGUGUUGGUUGGGCUGAACUGAAGGGUAGUUGCAGCUAUUGGAACUAGUGGAGAGAUUGGAACUAAUGUAGCUUUGCAGGAAUUUGAUACAACUUGGAACUGAACUCCAACUGGUGGUGCUGAACUGAGAUUGAAAUGGAGAACAACUGUAGGUACAAGUGGGUUAUGCCCAGAUAACGAAGCUAUGUAUAGAUGUGAAGAAUAUGUUAUGUAGAGCUAGGAAUCAGAGUGUAGUGUUUGAUGAAAACAAGACUUCGGAGAUGGAAGUUAGUUUGUAACUUAGAGAACUGUGUACAGUUAGAAUGUUGUGGAGAUUGUAUGUUUGAUUGCGCUU
Papaver somniferum (opium poppy) is the source of this 1118-nucleotide long non-coding RNA. RefSeq lists it as uncharacterized. The record is from RefSeq and is a predicted model, not a curated record. Lineage: Eukaryota; Viridiplantae; Streptophyta; Magnoliopsida; Ranunculales; Papaveraceae. The transcript has 2 exons.